GGUCCUGUAGCUCAGUGGCAGAGCACCGCCCUUAUAAGACGGCCGUCGCAGGUUCGAUCCCUGCCAGGACCACAA
This 75-nucleotide transfer RNA is filed under the name Candidatus Staskawiczbacteria bacterium RIFOXYB1_FULL_37_44. Its description in RNAcentral is "tRNA-Ile". It matches the Rfam family "tRNA". From Rfam's summary of the family: Transfer RNA (tRNA) molecules are approximately 80 nucleotides in length. Their secondary structure includes four short double-helical elements and three loops (D, anti-codon, and T loops). The record is from RNAcentral. Lineage: Bacteria; Candidatus Staskawicziibacteriota. RNAcentral also lists the same sequence under 2 other names.